Non-coding RNA from Eucalyptus grandis, 90 nucleotides. Lineage: Eukaryota; Viridiplantae; Streptophyta; Magnoliopsida; Myrtales; Myrtaceae. The record is from Rfam.
GUGACAGAAGAGAGUGAGCACACAUGGUACUCUUUCUUGCAUGUCCCAAUUCAUGCUCGAAGCUCUGUGUGCUCACUCUCUGUCUGUCAC